This 994-nucleotide long non-coding RNA is filed under the name Citrus x clementina. RNAcentral's name for it is "Citrus clementina (C. clementina) long non-coding RNA (CCLE_LNC004995)". The record is from RNAcentral. Lineage: Eukaryota; Viridiplantae; Streptophyta; Magnoliopsida; Sapindales; Rutaceae.
CCGAAGGUCGGGGCGCCAGCACCCCCAAGCGGAAAAAUGGCCAAAAAACGGGUGGGCUAUAGACUUGGUGGGGGGCGUGGGCGAAGUUCGUCCGCCGGACUCGGAAUGGCCCCAGACUUUGCGGGCGGCCUCCGUGUGCCAAAAAUAGGCCACGGGCACAGCCGCGCCCAAAAAUGAGCGCCCGAAGGUCCGGGCGCCAACACCCCCCAGCAGAAAAAUGGCCCAGAAACGGGUGUGCUAUAGCCUUGGCGGGGGGCGUGGGCGAAGUUCGUCCGCCGGACUCGGAAUGGCCCCAGACUUUGCGGGCGGCCUCCGUGUGCCAAAAAUAGGCCACGGGCACAGCCGCGCCCAAAAAUGAGCGCCCGAAGGUCGGGGCGCCAACACCCCCCAGCGGAAAAAUGGCCCAGAAACGGGUGUGCUAUAGCCUUGGCGGGGGGCGUGGGCGAAGUUCGUCCGCCGGACUCGGAAUGGCCCCAGACUUUGCGGGCGGCCUCCGUGUGCCAAAAAUAGGCCACGGGCACAGCCGCGCCGAAAAAUGAGCGCCGGAAGGUCGGGGCGCCAACACCCCCCAGCGGAAAAUUGGCCGAAAAACGGGUGGCCUAUAGCCUUGGUGGGGGGCGUGGGCGAAGUUCGUCCGCCGGACUCGGAAUGGCCCCAGACUUUGCGGGCGGCCUCCGUGCGCCAAAAAUAGGCCACGAGCACAGCCGCGCCCAAAAAUGAGCGCCCGAAGGUCGGGGCGCCAACACCCCCCAGCGGAAAAAUGGCCCAGAAACGGGUGGGCUAUAGCCUUGGCGGGGGGCGUGGGCGAAGCUCGUCCGCCGGACUCGGAAUGGCCCCAGACUUUGCGGGCGGCCUCCGUGCGCCAAAAAAAGGCCACGGGCACAGCCGCGCCCAAAAAUGAGCGUCCGAAGGUCGGGGCGCCAGCACCCCCCAGCGGAAAAAUGGCCAAAAAACGGGUGGGCUAUAGCCUUGGUGGGGGGCGUGGGCGAUGCUC